GUCUCAGUUCGGACUGUAGGCUGCAACUCGCCUACACGAAGUUGGAAUUGCUAGUAAUCGUGGAUCAGCAUGCCACGGUGAAUACGUUCCCGGGUCUUGUACACACCGCCCGUCACACCAUGGGAGCUGGUAACACCCGAAGUCAGUAGUCUAACCGCAAGGAGGACGCUGCCGAAGGUGGGAUUAGCGACUGGGGUGAAGUCGUAACAAGGUACC
RNAcentral lists this ribosomal RNA (216 nucleotides) under uncultured bacterium. RNAcentral's name for it is "partial 16S ribosomal RNA". It matches the Rfam family "Bacterial small subunit ribosomal RNA", at positions 1285 to 1500 of the family's 1533-position model. The record is from RNAcentral.